Molecule: ribosomal RNA, 427 nt
Filed under: uncultured bacterium
Lineage: Bacteria
Description: partial 16S ribosomal RNA
Rfam family: Bacterial small subunit ribosomal RNA
Source: RNAcentral
UGGGGAAUAUUGCACAAUGGGCGCAAGCCUGAUGCAGCCAUGCCGCGUGUAUGAAGAAGGCCUUCGGGUUGUAAAGUACUUUCAGCGGGGAGGAAGGCGAUAAGGUUAAUAACCUUGUCGAUUGACGUUACCCGCAGAAGAAGCACCGGCCAACUCCGUGCCAGCAGCCGCGGUAAUACGGAGGGUGCAAGCGUUAAUCGGAAUUACUGGGCGUAAAGCGCACGCAGGCGGUCUGUCAAGUCGGAUGUGAAAUCCCCGGGCUCAACCUGGGAACUGCAUUCGAAACUGGCAGGCUAGAGUCUUGUAGAGGGGGGUAGAAUUCCAGGUGUAGCGGUGAAAUGCGUAGAGAUCUGGAGGAAUACCGGUGGCGAAGGCGGCCCCCUGGACAAAGACUGACGCUCAGGUGCGAAAGCGUGGGGAGCAAACA